CCUACGGGAGGCAGCAGUGAGGAAUAUUGGUCAAUGGGCGCGAGCCUGAACCAGCCAAGUAGCGUGAAGGAUGACUGCCCUACGGGUUGUAAACUUCUUUUAUAAAGGAAUAAAGUGAGGCACGUGUCCCGUUUUGUAUGUACCUUAUGAAUAAGGAUCGGCUAACUCCGUGCCAGCAGCCGCGGUAAUACGGAGGAUCCGAGCGUUAUCCGGAUUUAUUGGGUUUAAAGGGUGCGUAGGCGGCCUUUUAAGUCAGCGGUGAAAGUCUGUGGCUCAACCAUAGAAUUGCCGUUGAAACUGGGAGGCUUGAGUAUGUUUGAGGCAGGCGGAAUGCGUGGUGUAGCGGUGAAAUGCUUAGAUAUCACGCAGAACCCCGAUUGCGAAGGCAGCCUGCCAAGCCAUGACUGACGCUGAUGCACGAAAGCGUGGGGAUCAAACAGGAUUAGAUACCCCUGUAGUC
Molecule: ribosomal RNA, 460 nt
Filed under: uncultured bacterium
Lineage: Bacteria
Description: partial 16S ribosomal RNA
Rfam family: Bacterial small subunit ribosomal RNA
Source: RNAcentral